RNA transcript from Pseudoliparis swirei, 2092 nucleotides. RefSeq lists it as uncharacterized. The record is from RefSeq and is a predicted model, not a curated record. The transcript has 9 exons. Lineage: Eukaryota; Metazoa; Chordata; Actinopteri; Perciformes; Liparidae.
AGCUUUAUAUGGAUAACAGAUUAUAUAUCAUAUAACCUCCAACACAUUUUUUAGUUUUGUCAACUGUCAACAUCUACUAGAAUCUUGCAGAUGAAGCAACGCCAAGUAGAAAAAGACAAUAAAAACCAAACCCAUGACGAAGUAUAAAUAAACAAAGUAUAAAUAAAGUGUAUGAAAAUUAGUUCUCCUAUAAACAUUAUAAAUAUGAUAUAGAUUCAUUGUUUUGAUGGCUUUUCGUCAUAUUGUUUUAUUUGGGCUCUAUAUUUAUUUAUAAUGUUGUAAAUUCAAUGUUUGUGAAUGUAGAGCUUGGAAAGCAGGACAAUUGUAUUUAACAUAGAAUAAUGCAUGACGGUCUUUUAUCAGUUAUUUGUGUCCACUUUACGUUACUGUGCAUGACCACUUUGUCAAUAAAGAGUUUUCAAAAGGAAUUCCGUCCACAGGCCAAUAAGAUCGCUUGACGUCACCGUCCACAGGCCAAUAAAAUCGCUUGGCGUCACCGUCCACAGGCCAAUCAGAUCGCUCGGUGUGCCGCGUCUAUUUGAAAACAGAAAUGGCUGAAGCGCGAGCGUAAGUCUCUAACGUUUAACCCUGUGUUGUCGUUUUAAACGUUUCAAUAUGCUUCAGAUAACAUGUUUAACAUGUCAGAUAACGUGUACGUUGUGUUUUAAAGUUGUAACUAAAGCGUUUGCGUUAGUUAGCUAGCAGAAGCUAACGGCUGCUAACUAGAUUACUAAGAGUACGAACGUUACAGGUACCUCUGAGAUGUAGUAUAAUACUACAGGUACCUCUGAGAUGUCGUAUAAUACUACAGGUACCUCUGAGAUGUAGUAUACUACAGGUACCUCUGAGAUGUCGUACAGUACUACCUGUCCCUGCGUCCAGGGUUCUGCGGUGCUGUGAUCCGGUUAUCUUGGGUUCCUUUAGAGACUCAGAACCACCUGAAGCAGCUCGGAUGGUUCUCCACCUGAUGGACAGCAGGCGGGUCCAGAACGUUCUGGGCCGCGAGCUAUUUGUUCUGGACUUAAUGAUGUCCCUGCUGGAGGGGCUGGAGUCUGCCCGGCAACUGAUGACACAGGCCUGCCCCGCCCAGCCUGUCUAUAGGGGCAGACAUGUGAGUCGGCUGAGUCGACCCAGAGAUUCAACUCUGGGGACAGGGACGCCGCUCGGUGCGUGAGGAUCCCCUCGUGGACCUCUCACUCUGCGGCCCUCGCCGGGCGCAUCGUCUCCGUUGAGGGGGCGGGGCUCGCAGCAGGUGGAAGGCUCUGAAAGGAGACAGCAGGUCCAGGACGGAGGACACAGAGACACUCCUCAGAUCUCUGGAGGACAAAGUUCAACAAAUACACAACAGGAGACACACACUCACACAACUGGUCCACCAGCUGGAGAGCAAGAAGCAGCAGCAUGAAAGGCUGGAGGAGUCUCUGCAGAAGGCCCAGAAUGCAUUGCAGUUAUGCGACAAUCAGCUGAACCAGCUGAGGGCGGAGUCAGAGAUGAGCUGCAGGUGUACGCCUCUUCCCUACAGGACAGCAUGCAGAUCAACCUGCUGUCAUUCAGCCAAUCAGAGCUGCGUCUGGAGCUCAGGCCACGCCCCUCUACAGAUAUGUCGUCCAAUGAGCCGGAACUACUGAAGUUGUCAGUCACCUGGAGCCACGGCGACCGCUUCACACUGCAGGUGAGGGAGGGUCCUGCUGGUCUGGUGGAGGACGGGCUGUCGGGCCGGCGGUCUAAACUGAGCGCCGCCUUGCUGGAGGUGAUGCAGCGUUACCUGUGUCAGUUCCAGCUGCUGUCUGAGAUCUAGCUUCGCCAUCGACUGGCGCCCGGCCCAGCAGAUCCUGGUGUUCCUGAAGUCGGCUGGGCUGGUCUUCACCCUGCAGGUCCAGGACGGGUACCCUGGAGCCGGGUCGGCCCGCCUGCUGUCAGCACUCAGACGGCCGAGCUGUGGACACGUCUGGGCUGAAGCCUCUCAGAUCUAACCACAGUCUCACUGAUUGGUUGGUGUUCCUCAGCAGCGCUCCAAUGGACUGACUCCUCCUCCUCUGGACUGGCUCCUCCCCUGGACUGUGUUACUAAAUAAAUGUUUACAACAAGUGAA